This 1372-nucleotide ribosomal RNA is filed under the name uncultured bacterium. Its description in RNAcentral is "bacterial SSU rRNA". It matches the Rfam family "Bacterial small subunit ribosomal RNA", at positions 28 to 1381 of the family's 1533-position model. The record is from RNAcentral.
GAUGAACGCUGGCGGCGUGCCUAAUACAUGCAAGUCGAGCGAACGGACGAGAAGCUUGCUUUUCUGAUGUUAGCGGCGGACGGGUGAGUAACACGUGGAUAACCUACCUAUAAGACUGGGAUAACUUCGGGAAACCGGAGCUAAUACCGGAUAAUAUUUUGAACCGCAUGGUUCAAAAGUGAAAGACGGUCUUGCUGUCACUUAUAGAUGGAUCCGCGCUGCAUUAGCUAGUUGGUAAGGUAACGGCUUACCAAGGCAACGAUGCAUAGCCGACCUGAGAGGGUGAUCGGCCACACUGGAACUGAGACACGGUCCAGACUCCUACGGGAGGCAGCAGUAGGGAAUCUUCCGCAAUGGGCGAAAGCCUGACGGAGCAACGCCGCGUGAGUGAUGAAGGUCUUCGGAUCGUAAAACUCUGUUAUUAGGGAAGAACAUAUGUGUAAGUAACUGUGCACAUCUUGACGGUACCUAAUCAGAAAGCCACGGCUAACUACGUGCCAGCAGCCGCGGUAAUACGUAGGUGGCAAGCGUUAUCCGGAAUUAUUGGGCGUAAAGCGCGCGUAGGCGGUUUUUUAAGUCUGAUGUGAAAGCCCACGGCUCAACCGUGGAGGGUCAUUGGAAACUGGAAAACUUGAGUGCAGAAGAGGAAAGUGGAAUUCCAUGUGUAGCGGUGAAAUGCGCAGAGAUGUGGAGGAACACCAGUGGCGAAGGCGACUUUCUGGUCUGUAACUGACGCUGAUGUGCGAAAGCGUGGGGAUCAAACAGGAUUAGAUACCCUGGUAGUCCACGCCGUAAACGAUGAGUGCUAAGUGUUAGGGGGUUUCCGCCCCUUAGUGCUGCAGCUAACGCAUUAAGCACUCCGCCUGGGGAGUACGACCGCAAGGUUGAAACUCAAAGGAAUUGACGGGGGCCCGCACAAGCGGUGGAGCAUGUGGUUUAAUUCGAAGCAACGCGAAGAACCUUACCAAAUCUUGACAUCCUUUGACAACUCUAGAGAUAGAGCCUUCCCCUUCGGGGGACAAAGUGACAGGUGGUGCAUGGUUGUCGUCAGCUCGUGUCGUGAGAUGUUGGGUUAAGUCCCGCAACGAGCGCAGCCCUUAAGCUUAGUUGCCAUCAUUAAGUUGGGCACUCUAAGUUGACUGCCGGUGACAAACCGGAGGAAGGUGGGGAUGACGUCAAAUCAUCAUGCCCCUUAUGAUUUGGGCUACACACGUGCUACAAUGGACAAUACAAAGGGCAGCGAAACCGCGAGGUCAAGCAAAUCCCAUAAAGUUGUUCUCAGUUCGGAUUGUAGUCUGCAACUCGACUACAUGAAGCUGGAAUCGCUAGUAAUCGUAGAUCAGCAUGCUACGGUGAAUACGUUCCCGGGUCU